ACGUACACUCCUACGGGAGGCAGCAGUGGGGAAUAUUGCACAAUGGGCGCAAGCCUGAUGCAGCCAUGCCGCGUGUAUGAAGAAGGCCUUCGGGUUGUAAAGUACUUUCAGCGGGGAGGAAGGCGAUAAGGUUAAUAACCUUGUUGAUUGACGUUACCCGCAGAAGAAGCACCGGCUAACUCCGUGCCAGCAGCCGCGGUAAUACGGAGGGUGCAAGCGUUAAUCGGAAUUACUGGGCGUAAAGCGCACGCAGGCGGUCUGUCAAGUCGGAUGUGAAAUCCCCGGGCUCAACCUGGGAACUGCAUUCGAAACUGGCAGGCUAGAGUCUUGUAGAGGGGGGUAGAAUUCCAGGUGUAGCGGUGAAAUGCGUAGAGAUCUGGAGGAAUACCGGUGGCGAAGGCGGCCCCCUGGACAAAGACUGACGCUCAGGUGCGAAAGCGUGGGGAGCAAACAGGAUUAGAUACCCUAGUAGUCCCAUGA
Molecule: ribosomal RNA, 480 nt
Filed under: uncultured organism
Description: partial 16S ribosomal RNA
Rfam family: Bacterial small subunit ribosomal RNA
Source: RNAcentral